This is a long non-coding RNA of Macaca mulatta (Rhesus monkey), 2067 nucleotides long. RefSeq lists it as uncharacterized. The record is from RefSeq and is a predicted model, not a curated record. NCBI's taxonomy places the organism in Eukaryota, Metazoa, Chordata, Mammalia, Primates, Cercopithecidae.
GAGCCACCAUGCCCGUUACAAAUCUAUUUGUAACAGAUUUCACUUUCAGAAAAUUUCUCCAUAUAAUCCAAAUCGUUCAUUUUCCAGUACAGACCUCUUUCCUCUUAGCAUUCUGUUCUUGAUGACUUAGAAGUGUCUUUUCUCUUUAUAUCAUUUGCACGUCACUCCUUCCUGUCUCCGGCUUCUUCCCAGCCCUCCUCCUCCUUUGCACACAGGAAACCUCAUUCUGUGGUGUGAACAGGGGGAUUCCCAUCUUCCUGAAACGACUUAGUCUUGAGCUGCCUGUGCCCUUCCCAUCGCAGUGAAUGUUGCCAGUUGGGGAUGACUGGGCAGCCAUGGGGAAGGCAAGAAUUCAAUUCUGGGUCCUGAGCAGGGGUUGUCCUGGUCAACAAGCAACUUCAGUUCCUUGGGACAGGACCCCAGACUUGCUGGUAUGACGUCAUUGUUUCUUUACUGGAGGACAGCAGCGUGUUCCAGGAACGCAAUGCAGUAGAAAGCAACCACUUGGCCCUAGAGACCGAGACUGAUUUCUGGGAAAGAGGCAGCCAGGCUCCUCCGCCUUACGCAGGUCGUGAAGACUCAGUACACUGAGAUCGAAGGUCCUCAGUUCCUAGCUAAGCAAGCCUCCAAGGACUGUGACAUCCCAACCUUCAGACGAGGAUGGAGGCGGGAGGAGACACAGCACUGGCCAGGAGACCUGGGGUUGGGGCUCUGUCCCUGGUCUGGCUCAGCAAUCAGGGCAAGUGACUACCCUGGCUGAGGCCAGCUUUGUCGGCAGUGAAAUGGGUGAACGCUGCCUCUGCUUGAAUCAAGAGUUUGUCAGGAUGCUAUGGGAAAAUUAUAUGAAGGUUCUCUGUAACAUUUAAAAAAAAAAAGGCCUGUUGCAUAUUUGUCAGGGGCUGGACUUUCUGAGAGCAGGCAGACAGGGAACAGCUGAGCAUGCUUGAGGGCUCUGGUGUCUUCAGGGCCUCCGUCACCCGUGUGACACUGUCCUUGGCUCAGUGGGCUGUGGAGGCCCCAAGUGACGCUGUGAACAGCUGGCAAGAGACUUCCCCCGACUCUGCAGCCUCCCUGCGACUUCUCGUCCCUUGUGAAGGAAGGGGUGGCUGCCUGACCUGUUGGUCCUGGGCACUGUCCUGCUCCCCUGGUUGUGGAGCUGCCAGGAUGGCGGGACAAUCAACACAAUGCUCCCCUUCUUCUGUCGGGGACAUCUCCACAGAGAAGAAAAGAGUGUCUCCCUAGAGAGAAAUCCUGAUGUCUGAAACUUCGGCUGAGUGGAGGAGAAAGGAUAACUCAUCACAUUUCCUCAGAGCCAGGGCAGCAUGUAGGAGUUGCGUUUCGAGGGGAGGAUGAUCCAGGAGAGAAAGGGUGCGCACAGCACACCAGCUGUGCUAGGGCCGGGCCAGGCGGACCAUGGGGCUCUGGGGAGCCCAUUGCCCCCACCAGCAGCCUGCUGCUGUGUGCGCCUCCCCCCAGGUGCUCAGCUUGGCUUUGACCUAGCAGUUGCCGGGAGGGGCUGUGCAGAUGGAAUUAAGGUCCCCAUGAGCUGAUUGCAAGAUGGGAGACUGCUGGGGGCCUGAGUCCUUUAAGGCAGAGAGCUUUCUCCUGCAGGACCCGGAAGAAGACAUCAGUGUUCAAAGCACGAGAAAGAUCCAACCUGCCCUUGCCCCCGUGGAAAGAGGAGCCAGGUGUCAUGGAACAAGGGUGGCCUCUAGGAUUGACCCCGCUGACAGCCAGUGAGGAAAUGGGGACCCGAUUCCCACUCCACAGGAACUGAAUUCUGCCAACAAGGAGGAGCUGGGAAGUGGUGUUUUCUCCAGAGGUUUCCGAUGAGAACUCAGCCAGUUAGCACCUUGAUCUCUGCUGGGCGAGGUCUGUGCAGAGCCACAGCCAGGCAAUGUGACUUCUAACCUUCAGAAUCGGGAGCUAAUGAAGGCAUGGGGCUUAAACCACAAAAUGUGUGUGUGUGUGUGUGUGUGUGUGUAUGUAUGUUUUAAAGAACACUACAUAGCAAUAGAAAAUAAACAAACAUCCCCUCCAUUAAACUGCACAUUUAUUGAAAGGUCA